RNAcentral lists this transfer RNA (67 nucleotides) under Loxocorone allax. RNAcentral describes it as "tRNA-Glu". It matches the Rfam family "tRNA". Rfam says of the family: Transfer RNA (tRNA) molecules are approximately 80 nucleotides in length. Their secondary structure includes four short double-helical elements and three loops (D, anti-codon, and T loops). The record is from RNAcentral. Lineage: Eukaryota; Metazoa; Entoprocta; Loxosomatidae.
GUUUUUAUAGUGUAAGUCAGCACAUUAGAUUUUCAUUCUUAAAGUACAAAUGUUUUUGUUAAAAAUA